Molecule: ribosomal RNA, 406 nt
Filed under: uncultured bacterium
Lineage: Bacteria
Description: partial 16S ribosomal RNA
Rfam family: Bacterial small subunit ribosomal RNA
Source: RNAcentral
AUUGAACGCUGGCGGCAGGCCUAACACAUGCAAGUCGAACGAGUGGCGGACGGGUGAGUAAUGUCUGGGAAACUGCCCGAUGGAGGGGGAUAACUACUGUAAACGGUAGCUAAUACCGCAUACCAUCGGAUGUGCCCAGAUGGGAUUAGCUAGUAGGUGGGGUAACGGCUCACCUAGGCGACGAUCCCUAGCUGGUUUGAGAGGAUGAACGGCCGCACUGGAACUGAGACACGGUCCAGACUCCUACGGGAGGCAGCAGUGGGGAAUAUGGCACAAUGGGCGCAAGCCUGAUACAGCCAUGCCGCGGGUAGGAAUAAGGCCUUCGGGUUGUAAAAUACUUUCAGCGAGGAGGCGUUACUCACAGAAGAAGCACCGGCUAACUCCGUGCCAGCCGCCGCGGUAAUUC